Molecule: ribosomal RNA, 497 nt
Filed under: uncultured bacterium
Lineage: Bacteria
Description: partial 16S ribosomal RNA
Rfam family: Bacterial small subunit ribosomal RNA
Source: RNAcentral
GACGAACGCUGGCGGCGUGCCUAAUACAUGCAAGUAGAACGCUGAAGAGAGGAGCUUGCUCUUCUUGGAUGAGUUGCGAACGGGUGAGUAACGCGUAGGUAACCUGCCUUGUAGCGGGGGAUAACUAUUGGAAACGAUAGCUAAUACCGCAUAACAAUGGAUGACACAUGUCAUUUAUUUGAAAGGGGCAAUUGCUCCACUACAAGAUGGACCUGCGUUGUAUUAGCUAGUAGGUGAGGUAAUGGCUCACCUAGGCGACGAUACAUAGCCGACCUGAGAGGGUGAUCGGCCACACUGGGACUGAGACACGGCCCAGACUCCUACGGGAGGCAGCAGUAGGGAAUCUUCGGCAAUGGGGGCAACCCUGACCGAGCAACGCCGCGGGAGUGAAGAAGGUUUUCGGAUCGUAAAGCUCGGUUGUAAGUCAAGAACGGGUGUGAGAGUGGAAAGUUCACACUGUGACGGUAGCUUACCAGAAAGGGACGGCUAACUACGUG